GGAAGUGUUUGCCAGGCUGGUGCCGGCCUCGGACUUCAAAUCCGAUGGGGGGUGCGGCGACGCGCUCCCGGCGGGUUCGAUUCCCGUCCACUUCCGCCA
This 99-nucleotide transfer RNA is filed under the name Deltaproteobacteria bacterium. RNAcentral's name for it is "tRNA-Sec". It matches the Rfam family "Selenocysteine transfer RNA". Lineage: Bacteria; Pseudomonadati; Myxococcota; Myxococcia. The record is from RNAcentral.